Molecule: ribosomal RNA, 510 nt
Filed under: uncultured bacterium
Lineage: Bacteria
Description: partial 16S ribosomal RNA
Source: RNAcentral
GGAGUUAGCCGGUGCUUCUUCUGCGAGUAACGUCACAGAUGUAAGGUAUUAACUUACACCCUUUCCUCCUCGCUGAAAGUGCUUUACAACCCGAAGGCCUUCUUCACACACGCGGCAUGGCUGCAUCAGGGUUUCCCCCAUUGUGCAAUAUUCCCCACUGCUGCCUCCCGUAGGAGUCUGGGCCGUGUCUCAGUCCCAGUGUGGCUGAUCAUCCUCUCAGACCAGCUAGGGAUCGUCGCCUAGGUGAGCCUUUACCUCACCUACUAGCUAAUCCCACCUGGGCUUAUCCAUCAGCGCAAGGCCCGAAGGUCCCCUGCUUUCCCCCGUAGGGCGUAUGCGGUAUUAGCAGUCGUUUCCAACUGUUAUCCCCACAAAUGGGCAAAUUCCCAGGCAUUACUCACCCGUCCGCCGCUCGUCAUCUUCAAAAGCAAGCUUUUGAAAUGUUACCGCUCGACUUGCAUGUNUUAGGCCUGCCGCCAGCGUUCAAUCUGAGCCAGGAUCAAACUCUGA